Terrisporobacter sp. is the source of this 119-nucleotide regulatory RNA element. It matches the Rfam family "PyrR binding site". From Rfam's summary of the family: This family represents the PyrR binding site and terminator structure. This RNA structure is found upstream of a variety of genes involved in pyrimidine biosynthesis and transport. The alignment also includes a portion of the antiterminator structure. Lineage: Bacteria; Bacillati; Bacillota; Clostridia; Peptostreptococcales; Peptostreptococcaceae. The record is from Rfam.
AAGUCUUUUAAAAUAGUCCAGAGAGGCUGAUAAAGAUAACACAUAACUAAUACUAAUUAUAUUGUUUAGAUUAUGCAUACACAAUCCUUAUACCUCUUUUGGUGUAAGGAUUUUUUUAA